GCCCUUCAGCAGCCGCGGUAAUACGUAGGGUGCAAGCGUUAAUCGGAAUUACUGGGCGUAAAGCGUGCGCAGGCGGUUGUGUAAGACAGGUGUGAAAUCCCCGGGCUUAACCUGGGAAUUGCAUUUGUGACUGCACGACUAGAGUGUGUCAGAGGGGGGUGGAAUUCCACGUGUAGCAGUGAAAUGCGUAGAUAUGUGGAGGAACACCAAUGGCGAAGGCAGCCCCCUGGGAUAACACUGACGCUCAUGCACGAAAGCGUGGGGAGCAAACAGGAUUAGAUACCCUGGUAGUCCACGCCCUAAACGAUGUCAACUAGUUGUUGGGGAUUUACUUCCUUGGUAACGUAGCUAACGCGUGAAGUUGACCGCCUGGGGAGUACGGCCGCAAGGUUAAAACUCAAAGGAAUUGACGGAAGGGC
RNAcentral lists this ribosomal RNA (419 nucleotides) under uncultured bacterium. Its description in RNAcentral is "bacterial SSU rRNA". It matches the Rfam family "Bacterial small subunit ribosomal RNA", at positions 503 to 922 of the family's 1533-position model. The record is from RNAcentral.